This 251-nucleotide long non-coding RNA is filed under the name Physcomitrium patens. Its description in RNAcentral is "long non-coding RNA (PPAT_LNC002969)". Lineage: Eukaryota; Viridiplantae; Streptophyta; Bryopsida; Funariales; Funariaceae. The record is from RNAcentral.
AAAUAGAGAAUGCAAGUUGAACAUGGAAAUAGAGAAUGCAAAUUCAAUAUGAAAAUGAAGAAUGCAAGUUGAGCAUGAAAAUAUAGAAUGUAACUUGAGCGUCAAAAUGGAGAAUGCAAGUUGAGCAUGAAAAUGAAGAAUGUAAGUUAAGCAUAGAAAUAGAGAGUGCAAAUUGAGCUUAGAAAUAGAGCAUGUAAGUUGAGCAUAGAAAUGGAGAAUGUAAGUUAAGCAUGAAAAUAAAGAUUGCAAGU